CCCUUAGACGUUCUGGGCCGCACGCGCGCUACACUGACGAAGGCAACGAGCUUUCCUUUACCGAAAGGUACGGGUAAUCUUUUGAAACUUCGUCGUGCUGGGGAUAGAUCCUUGCAAUUUUUGAUCUUAAACGAGGAAUGCCUAGUAAGCGCAAGUCAUCAACUUGCGUUGAUUACGUCCCUGCCCUUUGUACACACCGCCCGUCGCUACUACCGAUUGAAUGGUGUAGUGAGGCCUUCGGAUCCGCGACUCGUUUGUGGAGAAGUUGGACAAACUCAGUCAUUUAGAGGAAGUAAAAGUCGUAACA
This 307-nucleotide ribosomal RNA is filed under the name uncultured eukaryote. RNAcentral's name for it is "partial 18S ribosomal RNA". It matches the Rfam family "Eukaryotic small subunit ribosomal RNA", at positions 1470 to 1796 of the family's 1831-position model. The record is from RNAcentral.